ACCGGUGAUAUAAGCGAAAGGGCCCCACCUGUACCCAUCUCGAACACAGAAGUUAAGCCUUUCAGCGCCGACGAUAGCAGGUAGACUUUUCCUGUGAAAAUAGGUCAUUGCCGGGU
This 116-nucleotide ribosomal RNA is filed under the name Peptococcus niger. The record is from RNAcentral. Lineage: Bacteria; Bacillati; Bacillota; Clostridia; Eubacteriales; Peptococcaceae.